GCUUGACUGUUAGCUUGUAAUUGGGUUCGGGCUUUUUUGCGCAGCCUAGGUGGGAGGCAACGAUGAUUUUUUUUCCGGAAAAAUUUGAGCCGUUAGUGAGAGACCACUCUGAAAAGGCUAGAAUCCUAAUAAUGAUCCUUGAAUCAGGACAUUUGACAGUUGCAGGUGGGCAGUUUUACUGGGGCGGUAUUCUCCUAAAAAGUAACGGAGGGGUGCAAAGGUUCCCUCAAGCUGGACGGAAAUCAGCUUAAGAGUGUAAAGGCAAAAGGGAGCUUGACUGCAAGACCUACAAGUCGAGCAGGGGCGAAAGCCGGCCUUAGUGAUCCGACGGUACCACGUGGAAGGGCCGUCGCUCAACGGAUAAAAGUUA
This 370-nucleotide ribosomal RNA is filed under the name uncultured alga. RNAcentral describes it as "partial 23S ribosomal RNA". It matches the Rfam family "Bacterial large subunit ribosomal RNA", at positions 2098 to 2465 of the family's 2925-position model. The record is from RNAcentral.